This 382-nucleotide ribosomal RNA is filed under the name uncultured Katablepharidophyta. RNAcentral's name for it is "partial small subunit ribosomal RNA". It matches the Rfam family "Eukaryotic small subunit ribosomal RNA", at positions 30 to 432 of the family's 1831-position model. Lineage: Eukaryota; Cryptophyceae; Kathablepharidacea. The record is from RNAcentral.
GCUUGUCUCAAAGAUUAAGCCAUGCAUGUCUUAGUGUAAAUAACUCUUAUGAAACUGCGAAUGGCUCAUUAAAUCAGUUAUCGUUUAUUUGAUGGUCCCUUACUACAUGGAUAACCGUAGUAAUUCUAGAGCUAAUACAUGCACAAAAUCCCGACUUACGAAGGGAUGUAUUUAUUAGAUACAAACCAACAUCGUGGUGAUUCAUAAUAACUUUGCGAAUCGUAUGCCUCACGGCGACGAUGAAUCAUUCAAAUUUCUGCCCUAUCAACUUUCAACCGUAAGGUAGUGGCCUACGGUGGUGGUAACGGGUGACGGAGGAUUAGGGUUCGAUUCCGGAGAGGGAGCCUGAGAAACGGCUACCACAUCCAAGGAAGGCAGCAGG